RNAcentral lists this ribosomal RNA (157 nucleotides) under Fusarium graminearum. RNAcentral's name for it is "5.8S ribosomal RNA". It matches the Rfam family "5.8S ribosomal RNA". Rfam says of the family: 5.8S ribosomal RNA (5.8S rRNA) is a component of the large subunit of the eukaryotic ribosome. It is transcribed by RNA polymerase I as part of the 45S precursor that also contains 18S and 28S rRNA. Lineage: Eukaryota; Fungi; Ascomycota; Sordariomycetes; Hypocreales; Nectriaceae. The record is from RNAcentral.
CAAAACUUUCAACGACGGAUCUCUUGGUUCUGGCAUCGAUGAAGAACGCAGCAAAAUGCGAUAAGUAAUGUGAAUUGCAGAAUUCAGUGAAUCAUCGAAUCUUUGAACGCACAUUGCGCCCGCCAGUAUUCUGGCGGGCAUGCCUGUUCGAGCGUCA